Molecule: long non-coding RNA, 890 nt
Filed under: Pogona vitticeps (central bearded dragon)
Lineage: Eukaryota; Metazoa; Chordata; Lepidosauria; Squamata; Agamidae
Description: lncRNA (ENSPVIG00000011031.1)
Source: RNAcentral
ACUAGGUGGUGUUUGUGUCGUGUUACCCUCUCUUUCGUUUUCUUGUUAAGCUAGGAACGUGCACAGUUUUGCCUUCCCAAUUUCCAUGGUGACUGUGCAAGAUUGGGUGGGUAGCUCAGUGGUUACGGCGUCUGGUCACAAUGGGAGUUCAAGUCCCCACUGUGCCUUCCAGAAGAGUCAGCCUGUGUUUCCUUGGGCAAGCUGCACAGUCCCAGGGUGACCCCGGAAAAAGGGAAGGGUCAAGAACUUCUGAGUAUUCUCUACAUAAUAAACCCUGAAAAGAGUGCCGAUAAGUCAGAAUUGACUGGAUGGCACAACAUCGUUGUUGUCGUUGUUGUCGUUGUUGUCGUUGUCGUUGUCGUCGUUGUUGUUGUUUGGGGUUAUGAAGGAUCCCUACUUCAUUUGACACUGGGAAUAUGUUCUCUCCCCUUUUCUGCAGCUGAAGCCCUCAAAUGCAAUGUCUGCUUGGACUACAGAGCUGGAAAACCCUGUCUCAAAGGAAAGGGGGUCUGCACAGCUCGCCCUGGAGAGCAAUGCGUCUAUACCAGGAUCAUAAGCAGAGAGAAGAACUCUGCUACAAGAGGGUGCAAAAAAACAAGUGAGAACUGCAACAAAACAAUUAAGAAAGCUGGUACAAUAACAAUAACAACUUGCUGUAGCUACCCUGACUUUUGCAUGUAUCAAAUCAAGAAACCCGGAAAAUGAAACAAAAAUAAGAAUAUUUUUUUCUGUAUCUGAAAUACUCCGAGCUCAGUUGAUUUCUGAAUCACCACUGUUUUGCACACUCGUUUGCUUUUGCUGCUUUCUAGUUUUCUCUGUUUCCCCUUGUUUAUUGAUGUAUUCUUUUUACUCACAAUAAAAGCCUCAGACUUUAGAGUAAUCGUUUUGGA